This 253-nucleotide ribosomal RNA is filed under the name uncultured bacterium. Its description in RNAcentral is "partial 16S ribosomal RNA". It matches the Rfam family "Bacterial small subunit ribosomal RNA", at positions 524 to 776 of the family's 1533-position model. The record is from RNAcentral.
UACGGAGGUCGCAAGCGUUGUUCGGAAUCACUGGGCGUAAAGCGCGUGUAGGCGGCUCUGCAAGUCGGGUGUGAAAUCCCGAGGCUCAACCUCGGAACUGCACUCGAUACUGCUUGGCUCGAGUCCCGGAGAGGGUGGCGGAAUUCCCGGUGUAGGGGUGAAAUCCGUAGAUAUCGGGAGGAACACCAGUGGCGAAGGCGGCCACCUGGACGGUGACUGACGCUGAGGUGCGAAAGCGUGGGGAGCAAACAGG